ACGAAGUGCUUGCCCUUCAGCUUACGGCGGACGGGUGAGUAAUGCUUAGGAAUCUGCCUAUUAGCGGGGGACAACUGUUUCGAAAGGAACGCUAAUACCGCAUACGUCCUACGGGAGAAAGCAGGGGAUCUUCGGACCUCUGUGCUAAUAGAUGAGCCUAAGUCGGAUUAGCUAGUUGGUGGGGUAAAGGCCUACCAAGGCGACGAUCUGUACCGGGUCUGAGAGGAUGAUCCGCCACACUGGGAACUGAGACACGGCCCAGACUCCUACGGGAGGCAGCAGUGGGGAAUAUUGGACAAUGGGCGAAAGCCUGAUCCAGCCAUGCCGCGUGUGUGAAGAAGGCCUUUUGGUUGUAAAGCACUUUAAGCGAGGAGGAGGCUUCUUUGGUUAAUACCCAAAGUAAGUGGACGUUACUCGCAGAAUAAGCACCGGCUAACUCUGUGCCAGCAGCCGCGGUAAUACAGAGGGUGCAAGCGUUAAUCGGAUUUACUGGGCGUAAAGCGUGCGUAGGCGGCUAAAUUAAGUCAAAUGUGAAAUCCCCGAGCUUAACUUGGGAAUUGCAUUCGAUACUGGUUUAGCUACCAGUAUGGGAGAGGAUGGGUACAAAUUCCCAGGUGUAGCGGUGCAAAUGCCGUAGGGAUCUGGAGGGAAUAACGCAUUGCGCAAAGGCAGCACUCUCCGCUUAAUAAUGACGCGAAGGCACAAACAGCCAUUGGGGGG
RNAcentral lists this ribosomal RNA (720 nucleotides) under uncultured Acinetobacter sp. Its description in RNAcentral is "bacterial SSU rRNA". It matches the Rfam family "Bacterial small subunit ribosomal RNA", at positions 71 to 770 of the family's 1533-position model. The record is from RNAcentral. Lineage: Bacteria; Pseudomonadati; Pseudomonadota; Gammaproteobacteria; Moraxellales; Moraxellaceae.